AGUCGAGCGGACAGAAGGGAGCUUGCUCCCGGAUGUUAGCGGCGGACGGGUGAGUAACACGUGGGUAACCUGCCUGUAAGACUGGGAUAACUCCGGGAAACCGGAGCUAAUACCGGAUAGUUCCUUGAACCGCAUGGUUCAAGGAUGAAAGACGGUUUCGGCUGUCACUUACAGAUGGACCCGCGGCGCAUUAGCUAGUUGGUGGGGUAAUGGCUCACCAAGGCGACGAUGCGUAGCCGACCUGAGAGGGUGAUCGGCCACACUGGGACUGAGACACGGCCCAGACUCCUACGGGAGGCAGCAGUAGGGAAUCUUCCGCAAUGGACGAAAGUCUGACGGAGCAACGCCGCGUGAGUGAUGAAGGUUUUCGGAUCGUAAAGCUCUGUUGUUAGGGAAGAACAAGUGCGAGAGUAACUGCUCGCACCUUGACGGUACCUAACCAGAAAGCCACGGCUAACUACGUGCCAGCAGCCGCGGUAAUACGUAGGUGGCAAGCGUUGUCCGGAAUUAUUGGGCGUAAAGGGCUCGCAGGCGGUUUCUUAAGUCUGAUGUGAAAGCCCCCGGCUCAACCGGGGAGGGUCAUUGGAAACUGGGAAACUUGAGUGCAGAAGAGGAGAGUGGAAUUCCACGUGUAGCGGUGAAAUGCGUAGAGAUGUGGAGGAACACCAGUGGCGAAGGCGACUCUCUGGUCUGUAACUGACGCUGAGGAGCGAAAGCGUGGGGAGCGAACAGGAUUAGAUACCCUGGUAGUCCACGCCGUAAACGAUGAGUGCUAAGUGUUAGGGGGUUUCCGCCCCUUAGUGCUGCAGCUAACGCAUUAAGCACUCCGCCUGGGGAGUACGGUCGCAAGACUGAAACUCAAAGGAAUUGACGGGGGCCCGCACAAGCGGUGGAGCAUGUGGUUUAAUUCGAAGCAACGCGAAGAACCUUACCAGGUCUUGACAUCCUCUGACAACCCUAGAGAUAGGGCUUUCCCUUCGGGGACAGAGUGACAGGUGGUGCAUGGUUGUCGUCAGCUCGUGUCGUGAGAUGUUGGGUUAAGUCCCGCAACGAGCGCAACCCUUGAUCUUAGUUGCCAGCAUUUAGUUGGGCACUCUAAGGUGACUGCCGGUGACAAACCGGAGGAAGGUGGGGAUGACGUCAAAUCAUCAUGCCCCUUAUGACCUGGGCUACACACGUGCUACAAUGGACAGAACAAAGGGCUGCGAGACCGCAAGGUUUAGCCAAUCCCAUAAAUCUGUUCUCAGUUCGGAUCGCAGUCUGCAACUCGACUGCGUGAAG
RNAcentral lists this ribosomal RNA (1281 nucleotides) under Bacillus sp. U-3. RNAcentral's name for it is "bacterial SSU rRNA". It matches the Rfam family "Bacterial small subunit ribosomal RNA", at positions 60 to 1325 of the family's 1533-position model. The record is from RNAcentral. Lineage: Bacteria; Bacillati; Bacillota; Bacilli; Caryophanales; Bacillaceae.